Molecule: ribosomal RNA, 253 nt
Filed under: uncultured bacterium
Lineage: Bacteria
Description: partial 16S ribosomal RNA
Rfam family: Bacterial small subunit ribosomal RNA
Source: RNAcentral
UACGGGGGGGGCAAGCGUUGUUCGGAAUUACUGGGCGUAAAGGGCUCGUAGGCGGCCAACUAAGUCGGACGUGAAAUCCCUCAGCUUAACUGGGGAACUGCGUCCGAUACUGGAUGGCUUGGAUUUGGGAGAGGGAUGCGGAAUUCCAGGUGUAGCGGUGAAAUGCGCAGAUAUCGGGAGGAACACCAAUUGCGAAGGCAGCUCGCUGGGACGUAACUGACGCUGAGACGCGAAAGCGUGGGGAGCAAACAGG